GCCCCGGUGGUGUAGUGGCCUAUCAUAUGGGUCUGUCACACCCAUGACCUGGGUUCAAAUCCCAGCCGGGGCG
This 73-nucleotide transfer RNA is filed under the name Thermoplasmata archaeon. RNAcentral describes it as "tRNA-Asp". It matches the Rfam family "tRNA". From Rfam's summary of the family: Transfer RNA (tRNA) molecules are approximately 80 nucleotides in length. Their secondary structure includes four short double-helical elements and three loops (D, anti-codon, and T loops). The record is from RNAcentral. Lineage: Archaea; Methanobacteriati; Thermoplasmatota; Thermoplasmata.